GGACGUAUAGGUCAAGGGAAUAAUAAUAUGAAGCUAAGUUUACACCACGCAACUAGCAUAUAUACAGGGUGACCUCUUUGAAAUGGUCAAAAAUGCUAGAGUAAAUACAGGAGCCACAAAGAAGUAGUUUGAGAUAGGAUACCGGUGGUCGAAUGGAAACCCUUGGACGGAUUUGCAGCACACACUAAAAAGAUGUUUGAAGGAUAUUUUGAGAAUGGAAUGAGCCCUGCCGAAGCAAGAAGAUACCAUGAAAGUUUGUUAUUAUUGGAUGAAAAAGGUUGGAAAAAAUGGCAGAUGCCUCUCUAAAUCCUACUAAAAAUGCACUUUAUUACCUUCAUAAAAAAUGGACUUUAAGGCAUUUUGGACAGGUAUUUGAGCCAAUAUUAAAACAUUAAGAAAAAAAAAGUUUUAUCAUCAAUCAGGAAUAAAUAUUGAAAUUGCAACAGACCCAUGAGCAGUAUUGGUAGUUACGCCAAUCAUGAAAAGAGCACAGGAACUGCAGUCCUCCAAGGAACUGAUAUUUUGCGACAGUACAUCAAGUUGUGACACCAGCGAGACCACAGUUACUGUGUUACUAACAGCUACAAAAGCUGGUGCCAUUCCCAUUGCGAUACUUUUGCAUGAUGGGCAAACUUUUGAAAGUUAUGAACAAGCCUAUGGAUUGCUAAAGCAGACAUUUCCAAACUCUUUUGGAGGGAAUUUUCUAAUUAUUUCCACUAAAAAAAACAACACAAAUGAAUCUUUUGAGCCUAUAUGUUUUAUGACAGACGACUCCAAAGCUGAAAAGACAGCUCUUAAAAAUACAUUUCCAAAUUCUACUCAGCUACUGUGUUUUUUCAUGUGCUUCAAAAAGAAUGGCGAUGGCUUUCUGAAAACAAAAAUAAGAUUUCCAUGGAAAAGCGUCAAAUCUUAAUGCAUUCAUUUCGUAAGAUUAUGUAUUCUGAAAGUAAUGAAGAUCUAAAUGAACACAUGUUAAAGCUGCAGCAAGAAGCGGAGGAUUGUCCAAAUUUUUGGGCAAGAUUUGAAAUUUAUUUUUCUAGAGGACAAGAGUGGUUGUAUCUUCAUAGGAAACAUUUGGUCAUAAGAGGGAAUAAUACAAACAAUUACGCAGAAGUAACCAUCAGAAUACUUAAGGACAUUAUUCUUCAUCGUACAAAAGGUUAAAAUUGUGUGGCAUUAGUUGAUUUCAUUGGUUUUGUUUGGGAGGAGUAUUUUAAAUGAUUCUAUUUAAUGAUCUAUUAGAUUUUGCCCAUGGAAGAAGAAACGAAAUAAAAAAUAAUUACUUAAAGCUAUGUUCAAAAGUAAAUGAUUUUAAACCGGGAUAUAUUGUAACUUUGGGAGAUGGAUUGUAUCAAAUUUUAAUUAUAGUAGUAGUUCUAAUAUCUUUUUAAAAUACUUUAUUGACGUGCCAAUUGUCUUGCAGGCAUAAAUGGGUCAUUUUGUAAGCACCAAGCUUACCUACAUAAACAUUUAAAUAUUCCAUUUUUGAAUGCCCCUGCUAUUAAUUUUCAAGAAAGAGCAUCACUUGGGUGGCUAGCUCUUGGCGAGAAAUGCCCUGAAUCCAAAUGGUUUUUGGCCCUAAGUGAGUUUUCAGAAAAUGCAGAUAAUAUACAAGAUUGUGGUUAUCAAGAAAACCAUCUGGACUAGAAUCGAUGCACCAUCUUCAUUAUUUGAUGAGACAAUAAUGGAGAUUGAUGACACGGUGGAAGAUGACAACAAAAAGGAAGAUGUAAUUGAAGGAAUUAAAGAAGAAUGUAAAAAAUUUGAUAAAAUGCUUAAGGAAAUACCUUUAAAAGCAUUAAAAAGACUUGCAAAUAAACUAAAAAGAAUACAAACUGCGCCGCAGCUAUAUUCUUUCAUAGACAGUAAAGUUUCUAGGGUCAAACGCAACUCAAAAAUAAAAGUCCAGCCAACAACUGCUUCUCGAAGACGGCCUGGAGCCACUCGUGCAAGUUGAAUAAUCCCUUCAGGAAGACCACCUUGUGGCAAACGUAGUAGCCAAAGUGCUGUCAGAGGUAGUGGAAAACGAAAACAUAACAUAAGUUUAAAUAUAUCUUUAAAUCAACGAAACGCAAUUAUUCAUGGUCCCGCGUAUUAAAUACAUAAUAUGUACAAAAGUAAUAAAAAAUAUUGUUUAGAUUUUUUAUUAAAUUUUUAUUUUUAA
RNAcentral lists this long non-coding RNA (2164 nucleotides) under Anthonomus grandis grandis. RNAcentral's name for it is "uncharacterized LOC126738305". Lineage: Eukaryota; Metazoa; Arthropoda; Insecta; Coleoptera; Curculionidae. The record is from RNAcentral.